GAUAGCAUUUAGCCUUGAAACGGCCAGAGAAAGCGCUCCGCUAAACUCGCAGGCUAAGACCCAUUGCGUUUGUGUUUGAGGCUUUGCACCAUUGCGGCAGGGUGAUACCAGGGGCACGCAGAUCAACAUUAGUGGGACAAGCUGCAAAUGUUAGCGAGUGCCCUGGAAACAGGCCUCACAGACGCCGAUGGACGGCGGCUCUGAGAAAAGAUACUAGCGGGAUGUGAAAAGUUGAAUCGGAGGAGGCCUGGGGAACUUCAGCCGGGCAAGGUGGUGCACGCCUGUGACCCCAGCACUCUGAGAGGUUGAGGCAGGAUUGCAAAUUUCAGCCCAUCGUGGGCAAUUUAGCACUUGAUGAGACUGUCGCAAAAACCGGGGCGGGGAGGUGAGAUUGGGGAUGUCCUGGGUUCGAUCCUCAGUACCAACAACAACAAGAAAAAAUCGCGUCUCAGAGUGAGGAGGCGGACCGAGGAGGCGCCUGCAGCAAGGGCUGCGUCAACAGACUCAGGACCUGGGCCUCAGCAGUGUCAAGCAGACUGGAAGGGCUGGACAGGCAUGCGAUGCUGGGACCAGCGACCCACCCGAUAGCACCAGCGGUCGCCUGCCCGAGGCCCUGUGCCGGCUUGGUCAGCCCCCAAGGCUGGCUCGGCACCCCCACGCACACACUCGGUGCGCUUUUGCAGAGACGGUGGCUCCAGCGUGGGCUCCGCCCCCGGCGCACGAAGGGACUGGGACCCCUUCCUCCGCCCCGC
Molecule: long non-coding RNA, 752 nt
Organism: Chinchilla lanigera (long-tailed chinchilla)
Lineage: Eukaryota; Metazoa; Chordata; Mammalia; Rodentia; Chinchillidae
Exons: 3
Source: RefSeq, a predicted model, not a curated record